RNAcentral lists this unclassified non-coding RNA (426 nucleotides) under Hevea brasiliensis (rubber tree). Lineage: Eukaryota; Viridiplantae; Streptophyta; Magnoliopsida; Malpighiales; Euphorbiaceae. The record is from RNAcentral.
AAACGAUUCCUCUUCUCGCUCCGGUUGGACUUUCCUUUCUGUCCUUUUACUUUUUUCACCUUUUUGAUUGGCCAUGAUUAGGGCCAUUACAAAUUCCUAUCUAUUCAUUCGUCGUUGUUGAUAUCUUGUGAAAUUUAUGGCUUGCUUCUGCAAUUUUUAUCUAUUGAUUACUGAAACCUGUUCUUCAAUUGCCUUUGGUAAAUUUAUUUUAUCCUUUUAUUAUGAAAUCAUCCAUUGCUCUGUGUUGCUUGUGUCAAUUUUAGCCUCGAAUUGGAUUUUAGUUGCUCUGUUGAGUCUGCGUGCUGACUGAGAUUCUAAAUUCAGAUUGUUGAAUUUUCCUCAACUACAUCUUUUAACGGGAAGUUGUGAUUUUGUCGCCCAUCUGAUUGUGAAACUAACGGGAUUUAGUUUGCAACGAGUUUAUUU